RNAcentral lists this transfer RNA (54 nucleotides) under Aphelenchus avenae. RNAcentral's name for it is "tRNA-Gln". Lineage: Eukaryota; Metazoa; Nematoda; Chromadorea; Rhabditida; Aphelenchidae. The record is from RNAcentral.
UAUAACUUAUUUUAAAAAGAAUUUUUACUUUUGGUGUAAAAGGUUUGGUUGUAA